CAGCCCUGCUGACUGACAGCAAUUUGAAAGUGAUUACACUGCACUAGGUCACAAAACAGGAGUUGGAGGAAAUAACCCUUGUAUUGGAAACAGGAUAGGCUGCUCUUCUGUCCAGCACUGGGCUCAAAAUCAUGUUCACUUGGGCUUCAGCUGUUUCCUUUUCUGAUGUCUCAAGACAUAAGCUCCCUCCAGAGCUCGUCAGACUUCAUACUCAGCACAGGCACACACACAGAAUUUGGAAAUCUAAGGAUUAGUGAAGGCUGGACUUCAACGUCUCAGGAAUUAGAUUUAUAGAAGAUGUACUGAGGUUCCUGCACCUUAACACCCUCCUCCCCCUUUUUUUUGUUUCCUUUCAGAGAAGCAAGAACAGAUAUGCAACAUUACAAAACAGACUAUUGCACACUGUAACUCAUUGUUUAAGACAGUCCUAAGAAGCACAUAAUUCCACUGAAAUUUCAUCACUUCUCACUUCAGCAAGACAACCUUAAGGAACAUUAUCCUUAGAGCAUGAAUCAACAUGAGCCAGCUGACAUGCAUUUUGCAUCUCUUACAUCUUGAAAAACCCAGCUGCUGUUCUAAUGCACCAAGUACAAUAGGUUAUUUAACCCCAAAGCUGUAGCGUGCCACGCCAUGUAAACACUAGGCAGUAACAUGCUCUGAGUAAGUCUACCCGGGACAGCAAUUUUUAGACAACUUGGACAGAAACUGCCUACCUCACACGCUGCUACCGAGGGCAUAAUAAGACAGCAUUACUAUUUUACAGCAUCAGCAAAAUUCUGAUUUUUUUCCCCAUCUCAUUCAUUGGGCAUCACAGGGAAGAUAAGAGUGAGGAAACUAAACCACAGCUAUUUCUGUGACAUGAUCUCACCUCGCAACACCUAGCUACUGAAGCAGGACUCUGAAAAAUGGUCAGCACAGCUUUUAAUGCUAUUUUUUUGGUCAAGAUUUUACAGGCAGAACAGCAUCUUCUCUGUAUCUAUCCAGUCUGCACGCCUGGACUGACGCAGAUCCCACCGGCGAAGCUGACGUCCUCCAAGAUGUUUGCUCCAUCAGUUGUUCCCACUCCCCCCUUCUGCGUCUGGGAGCAACGCACGAUGCUUUCGGCGGCCCCUUUUCCUGCGGUGCUCUGGCAUAUGCUUCUUAGCAGUGUAACUAUGUUGCUCCUUUUCAAAUGAAAAUAUUUGGGAAAAUAGGCACUAUUUCCUCAGUACCCAACUCCCCACAGAUCCAUCAACUACCAAAUGAGAUAAAAUACAAAUGUACACGUCUC
Cygnus olor (mute swan) is the source of this 1270-nucleotide long non-coding RNA. RefSeq lists it as uncharacterized. The record is from RefSeq and is a predicted model, not a curated record. NCBI's taxonomy places the organism in Eukaryota, Metazoa, Chordata, Aves, Anseriformes, Anatidae. The transcript has 2 exons.